AUGAAUUCAGCUUAUGAUCCUGAAUUUAUAUUGUUAAAGCAGUUAAUGAUAUUAUUUCAGAGUUAUAACUGACUUAGCAAAGUCACGUUAUUUAUUUAAGCAAGAUGAAAUUAGAUUUUAUCUUUAUUCAAGUCGUGAUUUAUUUCUGACUCGUGAUUUAAUUAAAUCUGCGGAUUUAAUUUAAAUAUUAGAACAACAAACGAAUUAAAUCUACGGAUUUAAUUUAGAUUCAUUUUAUAAUUUAUCGAUUUAAGCGAGAAAUCACAUGUCGAAAUACGAGAUUUAUUUAAAUAAACAGUAUCAAGCAUAUACGAGCACACGAUCCAUCUUACAGUUACAGAAUCACCGAGACAGAGAAAAUACAUCAAUAAUUCUCCUCUACAUUUUUUUUUCCUUUCUUUUUCUUCUCUUUUUCUUUCCAUUAAUUUUGUUCCCCACUCCAUUUUACCACUAAAUCUACUUUUUGACUUUCACCACCAUUUUCCCCACCACUUUCACCACCAACUCAAUUAUGCAACAACACAUAUUGUUCCAGCCAUCAAGUCUUUUCUUCCCUCACCAAAACGUGUAGAAGAAGUUGAGAAAGGGAGAGAGAGUUUCCUCCAACUCCAAAUUGUAACUUGAAGAGGUAUAUACUAAGCUUCUUUAUUUUGAAUUCAGUUGCAUAUCAUCCAAACGGUUCCCAAAAAUUCUCAAAUUAAUUGUGUAUCAUCUUUCAUACAUUUUCUAUAUUUUGGUAAAAU
This 743-nucleotide long non-coding RNA is filed under the name Salvia miltiorrhiza (redroot sage). Its description in RNAcentral is "long non-coding RNA (SMIL_LNC004184)". Lineage: Eukaryota; Viridiplantae; Streptophyta; Magnoliopsida; Lamiales; Lamiaceae. The record is from RNAcentral.